RNAcentral lists this long non-coding RNA (4640 nucleotides) under Anneissia japonica. RNAcentral describes it as "uncharacterized LOC117124919". Lineage: Eukaryota; Metazoa; Echinodermata; Crinoidea; Comatulida; Comatulidae. The record is from RNAcentral.
CUGACUGUCAAAUUAAACGGUCCUGAAAUGGUAAUUUUUUCGUAUUUCUUUGUAACUCAUAUUGCGUGACUCACUGAAUUUGGAAUAACGUAGGAUAUAAAGAGGAUUUUCAGGAAAAUGCUGGCGGAUCAUCUGAAGUGUCUGAAGGUGUCAGUGCUGCACUUUUAUGCUGUUGUAUUGGUGAAGUGGAAUUAUACACUGAAAUGGAAGCAAGGACAUUUUAUAAGCAUCCGGAAGGAAAAUAUCCUGUUGACUAUAUUAUAAAGGGGCUAUCACUAGAUGAUGAUAAACAAUAUGAAACGUUAUAUUAUAUUUCUGUUGUUCGUAUCUUUUUUCACCCAAUGUUGAAAGAAAAAAAAAAGAAAACAGCCAAAUUUAAUCCAAAAUUUAUAAUAAGUAAGAAAUUACGUUCACUAGAAUUAAUUGAGCCAGAAUCGAAGCAAAUAAAUUAUGAAAAAAUACUACAUGUGCUAGUAUUAAAAGAAUAUGAGCAUUUUUUGGAAGAGUUCAAGAAUAAAAAAUUCAUAAAAAUACAAGCAUUUGACUCGGAAACACAACUAAGUAAAUCUAUAUUUUCUAUAAUUUCUCCAUCCAAGGCACCUGAAUGGAGAUCAGCAGAUAAACAUCGAUGAAACAAACUUAAGAAGAAAUAUAAUAAUAGUUGAAAAUAUAAUCACAAUAAGCACAAAGGAAAUUGCCAAGGAAGAAAUGAACACAUUGAUUGAAACAGUUAAAAAUGUAGCCAUAAAUGUUUAUGGUUUUAAACAAAAACAAAGACGUCAAGAAUAUUGUAAUGUAGUAUUAAGGUUCAAUAAUAUUUAACUUAGAUAACCAUUGAAAUCUGUUAUUGAUACCUUUCACUUGAUACCAAACCUGUUGAAUAUUUCAAACUUGGUUUCAACAUAGCUUGACACCUAAAUGGGUUUACUAACUAUUGAUCGAUUAUUGUUUGAAGGUUUGCAUGGCGAAGUAGUAACAUAUAUGUUGAAGCUGGCGGUACACCACAUAGGUAGUCCUGAAAAGAACUCAGUACAAGAAAAUCUUGCAUCCCUUGAAGACACCUAGUAGGAGGAGGAUCAAGAAAGACCCGACUAAAGCCUCCGAAAGGAGGGUUACAAACAGGUUACUCAAACUACAUCGUUUGGAGGCACUCUCGAAGCCACUGUACUAUCAACUCCGACCUUCAGCAUCCAUAUGCCCGAGACUAUUCGGACCACCGAAAAAAUUCAUAAAGUGGACAUUCCACUACGUUUCUUCACGAGAAUCAUGAAAACCUACCCUCUCGCCAAGUAUCUUGCUAGGAUACUGUAUCCACUGGUAGGCAACACUGUUCAUCAUGUAACCAACUCUCAACACUUUGUGAAGACCAUCCGGGAUGUUUACCUUGAAUAAUAAUAUAAUAAUAAUUUGCGAUUUCUGUAGUGCCUCCCGUUAAACCAACCUCGAGGCGCUUCACAACAACGGAAGGAAACGGACAAGAGAAUAAAAAAACCAUGAACCUAGACUAACAAAGAAAAAAGAAAACGCCUAAAUGAACCAAACCAACACCGCACCGUUUAUCGGCAAUUUAAGGCGUAAAGCCCGCCGAUGCAUGACUCACAGGUGCUCAAGUGAUGGCGGUGUCUAGCUAAGCAGUUAAAAGAAGGAAAAAAAACAAAAUAGUGGUAAAAAGUGUCUUAAAGGAAUUCAGCAAAACUUUCAGUGAAGAGGUGAGUUUUGAGUUGUGUUUUAAAAAGCUGAAGUGAGUCGGCGUUCCUGAUUUCAUCUGGAAGUGCAUUCCAUAAGGUAGACGCCGCAGAGGUGAAUGCCCGUGAGCCGUAUGUGAUGGUAGUGCUUUUCGGAACUUUUAGAAGAUUCUUAGAAGCGGAUCGGAGAGAGGGUGUUUGCGUGUAAGGAGUCAGGAGUUCGGUGAUGUAUUCUGGAGCGAGAUAGUUCAUUGCCUUGUAUGUUAACAGCAAUGUUUUAUAAAUAAUUCUUUUGUCGACAGGAAGCCAGUGAAGAUAAUAUAGUAUGGGUGUAAUAUGGAUACGUCGCUUAGUUAAGGUAACUACAGAGACUCUUGUUAGCUUCGACACCAAAUCACUAUUCACCGAUGUACCUGUCAAGGAGGCUUGUCUAAUAGCCAAACACCGUCUAGAAGAGGAUCACACGCUCCAAGAAAGAACAGAUCUGAACCCCGAACUGAUUCACGAUUUACUUUUAGUGUUUACUCUGUACUAGUUUCAAAUGGCGCGACCAGUUUUUCGAACAAACAGAAGGCAUGGCCAUGGGAUCGCCUUUAUCCCCAGUCAUUGCCAACAUCUUCCUUGAAGAGUUUGAAUAACUAGCGCUUCUUUCAGCCACCAAACAACCAAAACUCUGGUUCUGACACAUCGAUGACACUUUCAUCAUUUGGCAACACAGUAAUGUGUACCUAGAUGGUUUUCUAGAUCACCUGAAUUCUCAGCACAAAGCAAUCACGUUUACCAUGGAGGAGGAACACAAUCGCCAUCCGUCCACCAAGAAGGGAGUUUGUAACACACUCAUCAGAAGAGCACAUUGCAUCAGCAACCACAACUCCAUCCAGAAAGAAGUGCAACAUGUUAAGGCAGCCCUUAAACUUAAUGGUUAUCACACGAGAGACAAUGGUACACCCAGACCCAGCAAUAGGCUAGAUAAUGCGGAAUCAAGAAAUUCUGUAUAUUUACCAUAUUUGGGAUAGCUUUCAUAUGGCAUUCAACACAUUCUACUACAAGCCGAUAUCAAAGUGUUUCAUAGCACACCAACAGACUAUCCCAGACUCUACAAACACACAAGGAUAAACCACCAGCACAGAGUCAACCAGAAGUUUAUCGGAUCCUGUGCGAAUGUGGGAAGCUUUACAUUGGUGAAACAGGAAGAGAUCUCCGCACUAGGCUCAAGGAACACCAAGGCCAUGCCAGGAGAGGGGAACAACAAAAAUCGUCUAUAGUCAUGCACUCCCACAGUCAACAACACCGUGUACAUUGGGACAUAGCCGAACUAAUAGCCACUGUACCAUCGUGGCACUCCAGAAGGACCAGAGAAGCCAUAGAAAUCCACAAACACAAUAUUGUACAUCAAGAUAUCGGAUUUGUCAUUAGCGAUAUUUAGCUGUCCAUGCUUAAUCGGACCUAGCUAAGCAGCCCCAUCAUUUCCGGCCUUCUGGAACUAUGCCUUUGGUUUAUGGUCGUUCCCAUCCCCCUUUCCCGCCCUACUGGAACUAUACCUUUGUUUUGGUCAUUCCCACCUCCUUGUCUCCGUGAACAAUGGCUUUUAUUUUAGCCUUUCUCUAGCAGUCUUCUCAUUGAUCAGUUUAUCCAUCCAGCCUCUCUACCAAAACAUGUAAAUAUUUCUCUGUUUAGAGUUUGUGCAGAUAUUAGGGACUUUUAGAUUUGCCGACAUAGUGGACUGCUACAUGAUGAGGUCAUUUUAAGGCACUGCGCAUGUGUUACUUCGUCUCCCUCGUCCACUACCAAAAUCGAGAACGUGUUCACCUCGUUUUUCCUGUCGUCCUAAAUCUAGGACGCUGUGCUCGCUUGUGAAGUUUAAAGAUGGAAGUUGAAAAUAUACUGGCAACGCUGCUUUCACUAGUUAGUUCAACUGAGGCAGAGACAGAGCCUGAGGUAAGUUUCUAACUUGUGUUGAAUUAAUCUGUAUUAUUUGCUUUUUAAUGCACAGGCAGUUAUGUAAUUUCUACUGCCUUCGUAAACACAAAAAAGGAUGUGGAAGUUCAUGAGCGUGCUUACGCCAGUGUGCAUGCAAUGCAAAUGCUUGCGGCCGGGGAGGCCUGUUAACUAUCUGCAUCAUCGCAGUUGACGCACCGGAUGCGCCCUGAAGUAUGCAUUACAUUCAUCAUUGUUGUACUUGUCUACAUCAAAUUUCUGAUAAUCUCGGUACCUGAAUUCGGCAUUCGGCAUCGGUGAAGACACCAGUAGAAUAUGCAAAGACAAUAAUUUCGCGAAGUCGAUGAAGGUUCGCCAUGACAACUGCUUAAUGAGGUUGCCUAGCGCAGGCUACAUGUCGACUGAAUUCUAAAAGGUUUUCAUUUGUAGUCAACAAGUAUAGUUGACUACGUUGACACGCAUGACUAGUCGACAUGAACCAGGUCCACGUCCACACAAUCUAAAAGUCCUUCUCCUGAAGACGAAUGAAGCAACUCAAUCAAAACUACCUUGUGUACCACAAGCUUCGAAAUAUAUGUUAUUGACAGAUUAUUGGUCAUUCUAUUAAAGUGACAACCAGUUCAGCCCCGGACAAUCGGACCUAACAUUCCCCCCUCCAUAAUUAUCAGUUUUAAGCCCAAGUUUUGAAGUUUGUAAUAUAUCUCAAUUAGCAGUUUUUUAGUAAACAAGCUAUUAAAUUAUAAAGAAAGAAUUUCUCUAUGAUCUAAAAGUAUGGUGUGACUUAAUCUAGACACACCUCCAGAUCACUGAAUCAGUAGAAGUAGAAGUAUCAGAUAGAGUGGUUAGUUAGUAGUCGAUUGUAUAUAACAUGUACAGUAGAAUAGUUGAUGCUAAAUAAAACUUUGCAAUAUAUUGAUAAAAAAGAACUGUAUUUAUAACUUAAUGAAAGUCACCUUUUAUACAUGUACAGUAGAAUAGUUGAUGCUGAAUAAAACUUUGCAAUAUAUUGAUAAAAAA